This 489-nucleotide ribosomal RNA is filed under the name uncultured bacterium. RNAcentral's name for it is "partial 16S ribosomal RNA". It matches the Rfam family "Bacterial small subunit ribosomal RNA", at positions 30 to 506 of the family's 1533-position model. The record is from RNAcentral.
AUUGAACGCUGGCGGCAGGCCUAACACAUGCAAGUCGAGCGGUAACAGGAAGCAGCUUGCUGCUUCGCUGACGAGUGGCGGACGGGUGAGUAAUGUCUGGGAAACUGCCUGAUGGAGGGGGAUAACUACUGGAAACGGUAGCUAAUACCGCAUAACGUCGCAAGACCAAAGAGGGGGACCUUAGGGCCUCUUGCCAUCGGAUGUGCCCAGAUGGGAUUAGCUAGUAGGUGGGGUAACGGCUCACCUAGGCGACGAUCCCUAGCUGGUCUGAGAGGAUGACCGGCCACACUGGAACUGAGACACGGUCCAGACUCCUACGGGAGGCAGCAGUGGGGAAUAUUGCACAAUGGGCGCAAGCCUGAUGCAGCCAUGCCGCGUGUAUGAAGAAGGCCUUCGGGUGGUAAAGUACUUUCAGCGGGGAGGAAGGGAGUAAAGUUAAUACCUUUGCUCAUUGACGUUACCCGCAGAAGAAGCACCGGCUAACUCCGU